CCCCUUUUGGCGUUACUUUGCUAACU
RNAcentral lists this unclassified non-coding RNA (26 nucleotides) under Dictyostelium discoideum. Lineage: Eukaryota; Evosea; Eumycetozoa; Dictyosteliales; Dictyosteliaceae. The record is from RNAcentral.